AUUGAACGCUGGCGGCAGGCUUAACACAUGCAAGUCGAGCGAGCGGCGGACGGGUGAGUAAUGUCUGGGAACCUGCCUGAUGGAGGGGGAUAAAUACUGGAAACGGUCGCUAAUCCCGCAUACCAUCAGGUACGCCCAUAUGGUUUUCGCUAGUAGGUGGGGUAAUGGCUCACCUAGGCGAAGCUCCCUAGCUGGUCUGAGAGGAUGACCAGCCACACUGGAACUGAGACACGGUCCAGACUCCUACGGGAGGCAGCAGUGGGGAAUAUUGCACAAUGGGCGCAAGCCUGAUGCAGCCAUGCCGCGUGUGUGAAGAAGGCCUUCGGGUUGUAAAGCACUUUCAGCGAGGAGGCGUUACUCGCAGAAGAAGCACCGGCUAACUCCGUGCCAGCAGCCGCGGUAAUUC
This 406-nucleotide ribosomal RNA is filed under the name uncultured bacterium. Its description in RNAcentral is "partial 16S ribosomal RNA". It matches the Rfam family "Bacterial small subunit ribosomal RNA", at positions 30 to 526 of the family's 1533-position model. The record is from RNAcentral.